UUUUUUUUUUUUUUUUUUUGAGAUGGAGUCUCGCACUUUCGCCCAGGCUGGAGUGCAGUGGCACAAUCUCGACUCACUGCAACCUCUGCUUUCCUGGUUCAAGUGAUUCUCCUGCCUCAGCCUCCUGAGUAGCUGGGACUACAGGCAUGUGCCACCACACCCAGCUAAUUUUUGUAUUUUUAGUAAAGAUGGGGUUUCACCAUGUUGGCCAGGAUGGUCUUGAUCUCUUGACCUCAUGAUCCACCCACCUUGGCCUCCCAAAGUGCUGGGAUUACAGGUGUGAGCCACUGUGCCCAGCCAAGACUGGGUAAUUUAUAAAGAAAAAGAGGUGGCUGGGGAGGCCUCACAAUCAUGGUGAAGACAAAGGAAGAGCAAAGGGAUGUCUUACAUAGUGGUGGACAAAGACAGAAUAAGAAUCAAGUGAAAGGGGUUUCCACUUAUAAAACCAUCUGAUUUUGCAAGACUUAUUCACUACCACAAGAACAAUCAUGGGGGGAAAAUCACCCCAUGAUUCAAUUAUCUCCCACUGGGUCCCUCCCACAACAUAUGGGAAUUAUGGGAGCUAUAAUUCAAGGUGAGAUUUUUGUGGGAACCCACCCAAACCAUAUCAUUCCACCCCUGGCCCCUCCCAAAUCUCAUGUCCUCACAUUUCAAAACCAAUCAUGCCUUCCCAACAGUCCCUCAAGUCUUAUCUCAUUUCAGCAUUAACUCAAAAGUCCACAGUCCAAAGUCUCAUCCAAGACAAGGCAAGUUCUUUCUGCCUAUGAGCCUGUAAAAUCAAAAGCAAAUUAUUACUUCCUAGAUACAGUGUAGGUAUAGGUACUGGAUAAACACAGCCAUUCCAAAUGGGAGAAACGGGCCAAAACAAAGGGGCUAAAGGCCCCAUGCAAGCCCAAAAUCCAGCGGGGCAGUCAAAUCUUAAAGCUCCAAAAUGAUCUCCUUUAACUCCAUGUUUCUCUCACAUCCAGGUCACAUUAAUGCAAGAAGUGGGUUCCCAUGGUCUUGGGCACUCUGCCCUGUGGCUUUUCAGGGUACAGCCUCCCUCCUGGCUGCUUUCACAGGCUGUCAUUGAGUGUCUGUGACUUUUCCAGGUGCAUGUUGAUCUACCAUUCUGGGGUCUGGAGGAUGAUGGCCCUCUUCUCACAGCUCACUAGGCAGUGCCCCAGUGGGGACUCUGUAUGGGGGCUUGAACCCCACAUUUCCCUUCUGUACUACUCUAGCAGAAGUUCUGCAUGAGGACCCUGUCCCUGCAGCAAACUCCUGCCUGAUCAUCUAGGCGUUUCUACACAUCCUAUGAAAUCUAGACAGAGGUUCCCAAACAUCAGUUCUUGACUUCUGUGCACCUGCAGUCUCAGUACCAUGUGGAAGCUGCUAAGGCUUGGGGCUUGCACCCAUGGCCCGAGCUGUACCUUGGCCCUUUUGAGCCACAUGUGGAGCAGCUGGGACACAGGGCGCCAAGUCCCUAGGCUGCACACAGCAGAGGGGUCCUGGGCCUGGUCCACGAAACCAUUUUUUCCUCCUAGGCCUCUGGACCUGUGAUGGGAGGGGCUGCCGCAAAGGUCUCUGACAUGCCCUGGAGGCAUUUUCCCCAUUGUCUUGGUGCUUAACAUCUGGCUCCUUGUUACUCAUGCAAAUUUUUGCUGCUAGCUUUAAUUUCUCCUUAGAAAAUGGGUUU
Long non-coding RNA from Macaca fascicularis (crab-eating macaque), 1675 nucleotides. NCBI's taxonomy places the organism in Eukaryota, Metazoa, Chordata, Mammalia, Primates, Cercopithecidae. The record is from Ensembl.